GAGGGGCUCGCGGCCUAUCAGCUAGUUGGUGAGGUAACGGCUCACCAAGGCUAUGACGGGUAGCUGGUCUGAGAGGACGACCAGCCACACGGGGACUGAGACACGGCCCCGACUCCUACGGGAGGCAGCAGUGGGGAAUUUUCCGCAAUGGGCGAAAGCCUGACGGAGUGACGCCGCGUGGGGGACGAAGGCCUUCGGGUCGUAAACCCCUGUCAGAGGGAAAGAAGGGUGUCGGCGCGAUAACCGCCGGCAUCUGACGGUACCUUCAGAGGAAGCCCCGGCCAACUCUGUGCCAGCAGCCGCGGUAAGACAGAGGGGGCAAGCGUUGCUCGGAAUUACUGGGCGUAAAGGGCGCGUAGGCGGGAUGGCAAGUCGGUCGUGAAAUCCUUCGGCUCAACCGAAGAACGUCGGCCGAUACUGCCGUUCUUGAGGGAUGCAGAGGAGAUUGGAAUUCCCGGUGUAGCGGUGAAAUGUGUAGAGAUCGGGAGG
Molecule: ribosomal RNA, 489 nt
Filed under: uncultured Actinomycetes bacterium
Lineage: Bacteria; Bacillati; Actinomycetota; Actinomycetes
Description: bacterial SSU rRNA
Rfam family: Bacterial small subunit ribosomal RNA
Source: RNAcentral